RNAcentral lists this ribosomal RNA (252 nucleotides) under uncultured Bacteroidales bacterium. RNAcentral's name for it is "partial 16S ribosomal RNA". It matches the Rfam family "Bacterial small subunit ribosomal RNA", at positions 524 to 776 of the family's 1533-position model. Lineage: Bacteria; Pseudomonadati; Bacteroidota; Bacteroidia; Bacteroidales. The record is from RNAcentral.
UACGGAGGAUGCGAGCGUUAUCCGGAUUUAUUGGGUUUAAAGGGUGCGUAGGCGGUCCGUUAAGUCAGCGGUAAAAUAGCGGGGCUCAACCCCGUCGAGCCGUUUGAACUGGCGCGCUUGAGUUCAGGCGAGGUAGGCGGAAUUCGUGGUGUAGCGGUGAAAUGCAUAGAUAUCACGCAGAACUCCGAUCGCGAAGGCAGCCUACCGGCGCGCUACUGACGCUCAUGCACGAAAGCGUGGGUAUCGAACAGG